GGUUUCUUCUCCAGUAUACCCCAGCUACCCAGCUCCCUUUGCACCUAGUGCAGACACAAGUUUUGCCGUAGAACAUUUUUUAUUAACUUUUCUGUAAGGUAGACUGUAAGGUAAGAAGACUGUCCGACUCAAUCUUUGAACCUACUUGAAAAACAAUAAACUAAGCCGUAGAACACACUGUGUUUUUUUCUGAAGUAGACCACAGCUACCCAGCUCCCCUUUGCGCCUAUUGUGGACAAUGAUUUGACAUAGAACAUUUUUUUUAUUAUUUUUUUUCUGUAAGGUAGUGGGGUAGGGUGUCCGACCCCAUAUUUUGCACUUUCUUUUAAAAAGAAUAAACUAAGCCGAAGAACACCCUGUGUUUUUUCUCAAGUAAACCACAGCAACCCGACC
RNAcentral lists this long non-coding RNA (393 nucleotides) under Mytilus galloprovincialis (Mediterranean mussel). The record is from RNAcentral. Lineage: Eukaryota; Metazoa; Mollusca; Bivalvia; Mytilida; Mytilidae.